This 118-nucleotide ribosomal RNA is filed under the name Gouania willdenowi (blunt-snouted clingfish). Lineage: Eukaryota; Metazoa; Chordata; Actinopteri; Blenniiformes; Gobiesocidae. The record is from RNAcentral.
UUUUGUGGCCAUACCAGCCUGUCGAUGCCCGAUCUCAUUAGAUCUUGGACUCUAAGCAGGUCUGGGCCUGGUGAGUAAUUGGAUGGGAGACCAUUGAGAAUUCCAGGUGCCACAGUGG